GACGAACGCUGGCGGCGUGCUUAACACAUGCAAGUCGAACGGAAAGGCCCUGCUUUUGUGGGGUGCUCGAGUGGCGGACGGGUGAGUAACACGUGAGUAACCUGUCCUUGACUUUGGGAUAACUUCAGGAAACUUGGGCUCAUACCCGAUAGGAGCUUCUGCUGCAUGGUGGGGGUUGGAAAGUUUCGGCGGUUGGGGAUGGACUCGCGGCUUAUCAGCUUGUUGGUGGGGUAGUGGCUUACCAAGGUUUUGACGGGUAGCCGACAUGGGAGGGUGGACGGGGCCAAGGGGACUAAGGGACGGAGCAGUAGGGAACGUGAGGCAAUAGGGGAGAGUAUGACACAGUGAGCGGGAGCCAGAGACGAAAGCGCCGGGUGCGGAAAGACGGCUUACGGGGUAUGAACAGCUUUCGCCUGAGACAGAGCGGUAGUGACGGUAACGGAUAAAGAAGCACCGGCUAACUACGUG
Molecule: ribosomal RNA, 468 nt
Filed under: uncultured bacterium
Lineage: Bacteria
Description: partial 16S ribosomal RNA
Rfam family: Bacterial small subunit ribosomal RNA
Source: RNAcentral